CCUACGGGCGGCAGCAGUAGGGAAUAUUGCUCAAUGGGGGAAACCCUGAAGCAGCAACGCCGCGUGGAGGAUGAAGGUUUUCGGAUUGUAAACUCCUUUUGUUAGAGAAGAUAAUGACGGUAUCUAACGAAUAAGCACCGGCUAACUCCGUGCCAGCAGCCGCGGUAAUACGGAGGGUGCAAGCGUUACUCGGAAUCACUGGGCGUAAAGGGCGCGUAGGCGGGAUAGCAAGUCAGAUGUGAAAUCCUAUGGCUUAACCAUAGAACUGCAAUUGAAACUGUUAGUCUAGAGUAUGGGAGAGGUAGGUGGAAUUCUUGGUGUAGGGGUAAAAUCCGUAGAGAUCAAGAGGAAUACUCAUUGCGAAGGCGACCUGCUAGAACAUAACUGACGCUGAUGCGCGAAAGCGUGGGGAGCAAACAGGAUUAGAUACCCCGGUAGUC
RNAcentral lists this ribosomal RNA (440 nucleotides) under uncultured bacterium. RNAcentral describes it as "partial 16S ribosomal RNA". It matches the Rfam family "Bacterial small subunit ribosomal RNA", at positions 338 to 795 of the family's 1533-position model. The record is from RNAcentral.